Molecule: ribosomal RNA, 119 nt
Filed under: Salmo salar (Atlantic salmon)
Lineage: Eukaryota; Metazoa; Chordata; Actinopteri; Salmoniformes; Salmonidae
Source: RNAcentral
GCUUACGGCCAUACCAGCCUGGGUACGCCCGAUCUCGUCUCAUCUCGGAAGCUAAGCAGGGUCGGGCCUGGUUAGUACUUGGAUGGGAGACCGCCUGGGAAUACCAGGUGCUGUAAGCA